Ficedula albicollis (Collared flycatcher) is the source of this 1369-nucleotide RNA transcript. It is a transcript of the gene named low density lipoprotein receptor adapter protein 1-like, with no coding region annotated. NCBI's taxonomy places the organism in Eukaryota, Metazoa, Chordata, Aves, Passeriformes, Muscicapidae. The record is from RefSeq and is a predicted model, not a curated record. The transcript has 7 exons.
GGGAGUGAAACUGGAUGAGCUUUAAGAGCUUCCUGAGAGCUGGGCUGAUAUGCAGGAGCCACUGCUUGAGGGGAUGUGCUUCACCCUCAAGUAUCUGGGCAUGACUCUGGUAGAAAAACCAAAAGGAGAAGACAUGGCUGCUGCUGCCAUCCGCAGGAUCGUGGCUACGGCACGGGUUGGAGCUCGCAAGUUUCAGAAGGUGAUUCUGACAGUGUCUCCAAGGGGCAUCUCACUGCAGGAUGCAGACACUAAGGAGAUGGUGGAGAACAUCUCCAUCUACAGGAUCUCCUACUGCACAACAGACAAGCUGCAGAACAAAGUCUUUGCUUACGUUGCCCAGAGCCAGGAGAGCGGGGCACUGGAGUGCCAUGCCUUCCUCUCACCCAAGAAGAAGAUUGCCCAGGCUGUUACUCUGACUGUGGCCCAGGCCUUUCAGAUGGCACUGGAUCUCUGGGAAACAACACAUGGAGGGAGCUACUUGGGCCAUGGGCAUGGUGGAAUCGUGGAGGAGAGCUGCAUGGAACCAAGGGGGAAACUUCCUGGUCUUUGUCUGCUUCCGUCAGCUGAGAGCUCAAGUGAACAGAGGGUCGAGUGGUGGAGGAGCAGAGCAUGCAGUCCAGCUUUUGCAGCAGAGAUAUGGGGGACAGAUGCUGACCCACAGGAUGCACCUAGAAAUGUUUCUUACUCUGUUUCUGCCAGUCUUUGCUGAGGCCAGCCUGUCCAGACAUGUCUCUCACAUGGGACUCAGUUGCCUAUCUACUCCCACUGAUUUCUCUGGCACUUGGAUGGAGUGCCUGGUCAUGCUGACUUCUGUGUGGACUGGGGCUGUGGGCUGAGCUUGAUGGUGACUGUCCUGUGCUGGGGAGGAGCUGAUGGCACAGUCCACCUGCAGGUGUGCAGAAGUGCAGGUGGUGGGCCUGUGAGGCCCAUUGCAUCAUGGCUGUUCUCCAUGUACAUGGCAGCAGGCACCCAGCUUGGGCUGAGCCAGUGUCCCCUGGGAACCAGUGUGCGCACAGGCUGGAGCUGUACGUGUAGCCCAAUGACGCACCCCCCUUUGGACAUGGAGCUCCUGAUGGGAAUGAGAUACAGCUUUGCAAUCUGGGGACAGGCUGGCUUGGGAAGAGUUUGGUAGCAAGGGGGCUUAGGGCCUUCUGCACUGCCAGCACCUGCUGCUGCUGUGCCAUUCCUGCCACGGCAGGGUCACGAGCAUGCUGUGGGCUCUCAGGAGGCCAUGCUUGGGGUAUGAUGGAUGCUGUGUUCUCUUCCAAAGCAGCAUGGAGGAGCUGGGGAAGGGAGCCCACAGCCCAGCAGAGCUAAUACCUCUUGUGCCCCCAUCAAGCUCUCCUACAGCACAGCUACUGUGCUACCG